CUCUGUCUGAAGUAGAGGAUUCUGGGUGGAAGUGAGGCUGCAGCCAUCUCGUGUCGGAGUCAAACAAGUCACUGUCUACUGUUAUCUACACACAUGACUUAAUGUUAGCGGAAACAGACAAGUAAAUAACAUGCCGUGUGUUUAUCGCACAUGGGACUGAUCUCCAUCCCUCGCUCCCUCUCCUUAUCUCCCUGCCUGAAGAACUCCUCCAUGAUUCUCUCCGUCCAUUGUCGAUACACAGCCAGGGGUUUCGUAGGAUUGCUCAGUGCUUGUGCCUCCACUCUGACAGAUUGAAGCAGAAGGGAGAAUGUGACCAGAACGAAAUAGGCGGCUUGUGAAUUAACUUCCUAUGAACACCAAUGAAUGAAAAAAAAAGAAGAAGAAUCACAUUUUCUACCCUCCUUCUCCCUGAAAUGUCAAAACAUUCCCUGUAUUCUGUC
Xiphias gladius (swordfish) is the source of this 440-nucleotide long non-coding RNA. RefSeq lists it as uncharacterized. The record is from RefSeq and is a predicted model, not a curated record. Lineage: Eukaryota; Metazoa; Chordata; Actinopteri; Istiophoriformes; Xiphiidae. The transcript is spliced from 3 exons.